RNAcentral lists this ribosomal RNA (465 nucleotides) under uncultured bacterium. RNAcentral describes it as "partial 16S ribosomal RNA". It matches the Rfam family "Bacterial small subunit ribosomal RNA", at positions 28 to 507 of the family's 1533-position model. The record is from RNAcentral.
GACGAACGCUGGCGGCGUGCUUAACACAUGCAAGUCGAACGGAAAGGCCCCUUUUUUGGUCCUCGAGUGUCUCACGGGUGCGUAACACUUGCGUAACCUUCCCUUGUCUUCUUUUUAACUUCAGGUAACUGGGGCUAAUACCGGUUUGGAAUCCUUGCUGCAUGGUGGGGGUUGGAAAGCUUCGGCGGUUUUGGAUGGACUCGCGUCUUAUCUGCUUGUUGGUGGGGUAGUGGCUUACCUAGGCUUUGACGGGUAGCCGGCCUGAGAGGGCGACCGGCCAAAGUGGGACUGAGAGACGGCCAAGACAGCGACGGGAGGAAGAAGUGGGGAAUAGUGAAAAAGGGGAGGAAGGCUGAUGAAGAAAGGCCGCGUGCGGGAAGACGGACUUAGGGUUGAAAAACGAAUUCAGAAGGGGAGAAGCAUGUGGUGACGGUACCUGAAGAAGAAGCACCGGCUAACUACGUG